RNAcentral lists this ribosomal RNA (239 nucleotides) under uncultured bacterium. Its description in RNAcentral is "partial 16S ribosomal RNA". It matches the Rfam family "Bacterial small subunit ribosomal RNA", at positions 30 to 262 of the family's 1533-position model. The record is from RNAcentral.
AUUGAACGCUGGCGGCAGGCCUAACACAUGCAAGUCGAACGGUAGCACAGAGAGCUUGCUCUCGGGUGACGAGUGGCGGACGGGUGAGUAAUGUCUGGGAAACUGCCCGAUGGAGGGGGAUAACUACUGGAAACGGUAGCUAAUACCGCAUAACGUCGCAAGACCAAAGAGGGGGGACCUUCGGGCCUCUUGCCAUCGGAUGUGCCCAGGUAGGAGUUAGUCUUGUUAGGUUGGUAGGG